AGAUCUUUCAAGUUCAAAAUUACAACUUUUCCAUCAGAGCACUCAACUCCAAACCAAGGACAUGGAUCAACAACUCCAUAUUCAUCCUUCCAGUUCUUCAACGCGCCGUACGGAUCACUCACUAUUCUCUCUCUAAAUUUCAACAACGCCAAACCUUCGUCGUUGAGCGACCAACACAAAAUAAAGCUCCGGUAGAGCAAAAACAGCAGAAGAACACCAAACCUGCUGAAUUUCCAGUUCCUCUUGUCCAUGAAAGCUAAAGAAAACUUAACCGACAAGAGGAUUAGUAUAAGCUGAGCCCGAAACUUAUGCAGAGAGAAAUCAAAAGCUUCAGAUAGGCAUUGAACUGAAGAAGCCGAAAAUGGAAAUAUCUGAGACUAAAAUAAUCA
Molecule: unclassified non-coding RNA, 389 nt
Filed under: Hevea brasiliensis (rubber tree)
Lineage: Eukaryota; Viridiplantae; Streptophyta; Magnoliopsida; Malpighiales; Euphorbiaceae
Source: RNAcentral